AGUGAACGCUGGCGGCGUGCUUAACACAUGCAAGUCGAACGAGAACGGGAUAUAGCUUGCUAUAUUUGUCAGCUAAGUGGCGCACGGGUGAGUAAUGUAUAGAUAACCUGCCCUCUAGAAAGGAAUAACAGUUGGAAACGACUGCUAAUGCCCUAUAUGCCUUUAAUACAUAAGUAUGCAAGGGAAACGCUUUAGUGCUAGAGGAUGGGUCUGUAUGGUAUCAGCUUGUUGGUGAGGUAAUGGCUCACCAAGGCUAUGACGCCUAACUGGUUUGAGAGGAUGAUAAGUCACACUGGAACUGAGACACGGUCCAGACUCCUACGGGGGGCAGCAGUGGGGAAUAUUGCACAAUGGACGAAAGUCUGAUGCAGCAACGCCGCGUGGAGGAUGACACAUUUCGGUGCGUAAACUCCUUUUAUAUAGGAAGAUAAUGACGGUACUAUAUGAAUAAGCACCGGCUAACUACGUGCCAGCCGCCGCAGUAA
RNAcentral lists this ribosomal RNA (485 nucleotides) under uncultured bacterium. RNAcentral's name for it is "partial 16S ribosomal RNA". It matches the Rfam family "Bacterial small subunit ribosomal RNA", at positions 29 to 523 of the family's 1533-position model. The record is from RNAcentral.